UACAGAGGUCCCAAGCGUUGUUCGGAUUCACUGGGCGUAAAGGGUGCGUAGGUGGCCGGUUAAGUCUGACGUGAAAUCUCCGAGCCUAACUCGGAAACUGCGUCGGAAACUAUCCGGCUCGAGGGUUGGAGGGGGGACUGGAAUACUUGGUGUAGCAGUGAAAUGCGUAGAUAUCAAGUGGAACACCAGUGGCGAAGGCGAGUCCCUGGACAACUCCUGACACUGAGGCACGAAAGCCAGGGGAGCAAACGGG
RNAcentral lists this ribosomal RNA (253 nucleotides) under uncultured bacterium. RNAcentral's name for it is "partial 16S ribosomal RNA". It matches the Rfam family "Bacterial small subunit ribosomal RNA", at positions 524 to 776 of the family's 1533-position model. The record is from RNAcentral.